RNAcentral lists this ribosomal RNA (497 nucleotides) under uncultured bacterium. RNAcentral's name for it is "partial 16S ribosomal RNA". It matches the Rfam family "Bacterial small subunit ribosomal RNA", at positions 28 to 507 of the family's 1533-position model. The record is from RNAcentral.
GAUGAACGCUGGCGGCGUGCCUAAUACAUGCAAGUCGAGCGAACAGAUAAGGAGCUUGCUCCUUUGACGUUAGCGGCGGACGGGUGAGUUACACGUGGAUAACCUACCUAUAAGACUGGGAUAACUUCGGGAAACCGGAGCUAAUACCGGAUAACAUAUUGAACCGCAUGGUUCAAUAGUGAAAGGCGGCUUUGCUGUCACUUAUAGAUGGAUCCGCGCCGUAUUAGCUAGUUGGUAAGGUAACGGCUUACCAAGGCAACGAUACGUAGCCGACCUGAGAGGGUGAUCGGCCACACUGGAACUGAGACACGGUCCAGACUCCUACGGGAGGCAGCAGUAGGGAAUCUUCCGCAAUGGGCGAAAGCCUGACGGAGCAACGCCGCGUGAGUGAUGAAGGCCUUCGGAUCGUAAAACUCUGUUAUCAGGGAAGAACAAAUGUGUAAGUAACUGUGCACAUCUUGACGGUACCUGAUCAGAAAGCCACGGCUAACUACGUG